AAUGAACGCUGGCGGCAUGCCUUACACAUGCAAGUCGAACGGAUCUAGGGGCUUGCUCCUAGGUUAGUGGCGAACGGGUGAGUAAUGCAUCGGAACGUACCCAGUCGUGGGGGAUAACGUAGCGAAAGUUACGCUAAUACCGCAUACGUCCUGAGGGAGAAAGCAGGGGAUCGCAAGACCUUGCGCGAUUGGAGCGGCCGAUGUCGGAUUAGCUAGUUGGUGGGGUAAAAGCCUACCAAGGCAACGAUCCCGUAGCUGGUCUGAGAGGAUGAUCAGCCACACUGGGACUGAGACACGGCCCAGACUCCUACGGGAGGCAGCAGUGGGAAUUUUGGACAAUGGGCGAAAGCCUGAUCCAGCCAUGCCGCGUGAGUGAAGAAGGCCUUCGGGUUGUAAAGCUCUUUCAGACGGAAAGAAAACUUACGAGGGCUAAUACCUUCGGAGGAUGACGGUACCGUAAGAAGAAGCACCGGGCUAACUACGUGCC
RNAcentral lists this ribosomal RNA (487 nucleotides) under uncultured bacterium. RNAcentral's name for it is "bacterial SSU rRNA". It matches the Rfam family "Bacterial small subunit ribosomal RNA", at positions 29 to 509 of the family's 1533-position model. The record is from RNAcentral.